This 318-nucleotide long non-coding RNA is filed under the name Homo sapiens (human). RNAcentral describes it as "non-protein coding lnc-XAGE1A-3:2". Lineage: Eukaryota; Metazoa; Chordata; Mammalia; Primates; Hominidae. The record is from RNAcentral.
AUGAGUUGGUGAGGAAGAUCAACAUAUAGGCUUACACCAAAGUAAUAUUUACAACCUCUUCACAUGAUUGGGCUUCUCCUUGAGCCCAGUGUGCCAGAGCCUCAACAAGAAGAACCACCAGCUGAAAGUUGGGAUCCUACACCUGGUCAGAAGAGAGAAGAAGAUCAGGGUGCAGCUGAGAUUCAAGAGUACCUGACCUGGAAGCUGAUCUCCAGAAGCUGUCUCAGUCAAAGACUGGGGAUGAAUGUGGAGUUGGCCCUGGUGUCCAGGGGGAAGAUUCUGACAAAAUGAGAGCAAUUUAAAAUGCCAGAAGGAGGU